UAGUUCCUAGGGAAAACUGUCAAAUGGCUUUAACUGCCAAGGAUGACAGGAUAUCUCUGCAAUGCCUCCCUGGCAGCAGAGCAGCACAAGAUCCAACCCAGAUCCCUCUGAGAACCAAAUUUCGUGCCUAAAGCCUGAAUACAAACAGGUAUUUAUUUGAGUAUUGUUUCUAAACCCAUUCAUCUUCCCCUCCUCACAGCUCUGAAACAAAACAACUGAGACUGUUUUCAUGUUCAGAAGGAAAGGUACCCCAGUGAAGUGUGUAAUCCAAUUAAUUUGAGUUUUAUUUGACCAUGUCAAAAUCCAUCACAGCCUGGGAGUAAGAUGAAAUUGGGAAAUGAGCAUCAAACAGCAGUGAAGGCAUUAACAGUUGCAGAGCCUUUUGUUUUUAAAGUACAUGUGGUCAACAAAAUCAAAGGCACAUCCACUGAGAGGGGCAGAGGAUGGCCUGCAAACAACCAGGGUUUAAUUACUGCUGGAGGUAAGCCAGGGAUAAGGAUUUGGGUUACAAAACAUUCCAGCUAAAUGGUACAUUAUUAUGAUGACAGAGUUACUCCCACAAAUCCACCCAUCCUGACAUUUGACUCAACGUUAUUUAUGAAAGGUGAUUCCAUAAUUGUGACACAGAAGAGAGCUCUGAUCAACAGCCCUCGAGCUCAGCAACUCCUGCUUUGGCCUCAUGGCAUGAUCCUUCCUCAGCUGCCUGGCCAGGCAGAACUCACCCAGAUCCAGGUUUUCUUCCAGGAUCAGCUCUGAAUGAAACAUACUGUCAAUGAAAUGGGAUCCAAGUGUAUUAAAACACAACCCUCACAUUUUUUUAAGGGACUUUCUCCAUAUUCUUGUAAAGCAGCAGGAAGAACUUGUACCUCCUUAUAAUAUCUCUUCUCCUUAUAAACAGAGGGACAUUCUGGGGCUCUGCAGCUGGAGGUUGUCAGGGCAGCCACAAAAUAGCAUCAAAUGGCAGCAACAAUAUUCCCUUCUCAGCCAUCUCCUGCACUGACCCAGGCCCUGCUGGGCUCCAGGGCUGGAUGUUUCCGUGCUUCUGGAUACACCAAAGCAGAAAGUCUGCCUUGUUUGAGAAGACCUUGUUAUACAAUUUGCUCCAGGAGCUUUCCAGCUGCUGGCCAAGCCAAGAGGAAGAGUGCAACCAGUCUGACCUGGUCAGAAUUUACAAGGCUAAGCUUUAUUGCUUAAAGAGGAUCAGCUUCCCAGCAACCUGUGGUGGGCAGAGUCAGCCAAUACAUGGGCAAAAUGAUGCCAGGUACACAGGACUGGACUGGAAGAAUCAAGCCCAAAUCUGAGAGUGCUCCAACCCAAAUGCAGGGUGUGUCUUUCUUAGAAAGCCUUUUCUUGCCCUGCACAGCACAAAUCAAAUAAAUACAGUUCUUAAACCCCCUGACCCUCCAGUUACAGGGAAGAGACAAA
Long non-coding RNA from Pseudopipra pipra, 1425 nucleotides. RefSeq lists it as uncharacterized. The transcript has 3 exons. Lineage: Eukaryota; Metazoa; Chordata; Aves; Passeriformes; Pipridae. The record is from RefSeq and is a predicted model, not a curated record.